RNAcentral lists this ribosomal RNA (439 nucleotides) under uncultured bacterium. RNAcentral's name for it is "bacterial SSU rRNA". It matches the Rfam family "Bacterial small subunit ribosomal RNA", at positions 869 to 1309 of the family's 1533-position model. The record is from RNAcentral.
CCGCCUGGGGAGUACGGCCGCAAGGCUGAAACUCAAAGGAAUUGAUGGGGGCCCGCACAAGCGGUGGAGCAUGUGGUUUAAUUCGAAGCAACGCGAAGAACCUUACCAGGUCUUGACAUCCUCUGACAACCCUAGAGAUAGGGCUUCUCCUUCGGGAGCAGAGUGACAGGUGGUGCACGGUUGUCGUCAGCUCGUGUCGUGAGAUGUUGGGUUAAGUCCCGCAACGAGCGCAACCCUUGAUCUUAGUUGCCAUCAUUAAGUUGGGCACUCUAAGGUGACUGCCGGUGACAAACCGGAGGAAGGUGGGGAUGACGUCAAAUCAUCAUGCCCCUUAUGACCUGGGCUACACACGUGCUACAAUGGGCAGAACAAAGGGCAGCGAAGCCGCGAGGCUAAGCCAAUCCCACAAAUCUGUUCUCAGUUCGGAUCGCAGUCUGCA